GACGAACGCUGGCGGCGUGCUUAACACAUGCAAGUCGAACGGAAAGGCCCGGCUUUUGUGGGGUGCUCGAGUGGCGAACGGGUGAGUAACACGUGAGUAACCUGCCCUUGACUUUGGGAUAACUUCAGGAAACUGGGGCUAAUACCGGAUAGGAGCUCCUGCUGCAUGGUGGGGGUUGGAAAGUUUCGGCGGUUGGGGAUGGACUCGCGGCUUAUCAGCUUGUUGGUGGGGUAGUGGCUUACCAAGGCUUUGACGGGUAGCCGGCCUGAGAGGGUGACCGGCGACAUUGGGACUGAGGUACGGCCCAGACUCCUACGGGAGGCAGCAGUGGGGAAUAUUGCACAACGGGCGGAAGCCUGAUGCAGCAACGCCGCGUGCGGGAUGACGGCCUUCGGGUUGUAAACCGCUUUCGCCUGUGACGAAGCGUGAGUGACGGUAAUGGGUAAAGAAGCACCGGCUAACUACGUG
RNAcentral lists this ribosomal RNA (468 nucleotides) under uncultured bacterium. Its description in RNAcentral is "partial 16S ribosomal RNA". It matches the Rfam family "Bacterial small subunit ribosomal RNA", at positions 28 to 507 of the family's 1533-position model. The record is from RNAcentral.